AUGUGGGCGGCUGUGCGGAGCCCAAGAAGCGGGGGAUAACUAACUCUCCCCGGGUGGAGUGAAGUGCCCGCCGCGAAGCAAGGCAAGCGGCGCUCUGUACAGCCUCUUUUCCGGAGCUCGGGAGCGGCCACUGCAGCAAAGCCGAGUACACCGGAGGAAAAACAGCACCUCCUUGGCUUCGCAGCAAUCUCUCCCCAGCCUCGUUUGUGCUCGGAUCUAUUUCAGCCGCGCUAGGCAGCAGAGGCCCCUUUGUCUCCUAACUGGUCUCCGAAAGGGCGGAUUCUGCAGAGGUCCACUGAUCUCCCUCUGCCUCUGAGUGGGGCUACAGGGUUGGGCAGUAGUCCCCACCGCGUCUGCCUAAGAACAUCCUGACUGAAAAAGUUCUGGGCACUGGGGCGGUCACCCAGAAGACCCCACCCUGUUUCUCCCGUGUGUAGCACAAUCGGUGGCAAUUCCCAUGUGGCUGAGUGGAGAACGGAUUCAUUCAGGUCAUAGGCCUGCUUUUUUGUUUCCCAAGGAGAUUCCCAAUAUUUUUCUCCCUGUGGGUCCCACACACAGCUUGAUCUUCGAUCUUUCCUCUAAGCUGGCCCUCUCCAACCUCUGGGAAAGUUCGAGGAUGACCUUCCCCAACGCCCAUCCAAUUCUAGUCACCUCCUAGGGAAGAGAAGGCUAUCUUGGGCCUGAGGUUUCAGGGGCAGAGUCCAGGGUCAGUCUCUACCACAGAAAACCUGCAGAUGGCGCUCCUGGGUUUACUUUGGCCUCAACCCCACGAACACGCACCGGCUUUCGGGGAAAAGGGAAGCAAUAAAGAAGACAGAGUUUAGGGGAACACUGGAAGACACUCUACCCCUUCCACCCUAAGGUGGGAACUGGCGGUUAGAGGGAAGUAGGAAUAUGAAUGACUAUUUAACUUAGAGGGAGAAAGUUGGCAACAAUCCCCUCAUCUCUUCUUGGGACCCUCUCCAGUCAUUCUGGACCUCUUUGCCAUCAAGCUACUGGCUUACAGUUAAAGAGGAGUGUUUAGGGCUGUGUGUGCCAGUGUGGGCAAGCCCAACUUUAAGUCUAAAGUUCCCUCACAUUUCUUUAGUUCUUAUCCAGAAACUGAAGUUCUUGAAAGGUGUGUGAAGAACAUGGGGACCCUCCCCAGAACCACAUGCACGUUUAUUUCCAGGCAGCCAAAUAAACAAACACAUCCAUGUGUAACCACAUAUUGAUGUAAUGAUAUAUAUAUGUAUAUAUAAUGCAAUUUGCACAUAAAAAGACAUAGUCACACACAACACAUGUGUUGAAGGCUAAAAAUACUAACAAACAUGCUCUGGAUUUGGUAGGAACUCAUUAAAAUACCAAGAGAGAAGCAGGCAGACAGACAUACUUGCUGCUCCAGAGCCCUUUCCCUCCUUCAACUACCCUUUGCAAACCCUCUUUGUACACCCUCUUCAACUUUGUUCAAAAAGCUGGUUUCUUUCCCCAUAGGCUCUGUUCUGUUCUCAGGCAGCCUUGAAAAGACCACUGAAAAAGCUUCAGAAAAAUUAAUCUAGGAUAAAUGUGCUUUUCCUCACUUAACCCAGAAUUCUAUGGUGAAGGGCCCUACUUGAAAAGUUUCUUUUUAGCUCUCCUCUUUUUUUCCUUCUUCUUUCCCCCUUUCUCCUGGUUAAGAUGAAUAAGGUGUAACCAAAAAAAGCUAAAAGGAGGGAGAGGAAAAAAAGAAAAGAGAAAGAAAGAAAGAAAGAAAGAAAGAAAGAAAGAAAGAAAGAAAGAAAGAAAGAAAGAAAGAAAAAGAAAGAAAGAAAGAAAAAGGAAAAGGAAAAACAACCCAACCCCGAACACCACCAGGGCUCCGACCUGUCAGGGUUGGUUGCUUUUCCCCUCCGCCUCUAAAUGAACCUUUUCUCUCUGGUGUUUUCAAAGCGGCCCCUCCACCCCCCAACCUAGGGGCAUUUACACUUCAAACAAGGCGCCCGCCUCCCUGCGGAAAUUUAAAGGAAAAUAAACUUUUGGGGAGUUGCUCUGAUACCGAUCUCGGGAUUUGCUUCAUUAGCCGCCUCUCUGCAUCUGAUCUGUCCAAUAAAUCUUCCUUGUGGAUCUCA
Molecule: non-coding RNA, 2087 nt
Organism: Phascolarctos cinereus (koala)
Lineage: Eukaryota; Metazoa; Chordata; Mammalia; Diprotodontia; Phascolarctidae
Source: RefSeq, a predicted model, not a curated record